Girardinichthys multiradiatus is the source of this 1125-nucleotide long non-coding RNA. RefSeq lists it as uncharacterized. The record is from RefSeq and is a predicted model, not a curated record. Lineage: Eukaryota; Metazoa; Chordata; Actinopteri; Cyprinodontiformes; Goodeidae. The transcript is spliced from 2 exons.
CCUGUACUCCCACUAGGUUAUUGAAGUUGGUGUUUAAGUGGCGCCUCAGCAGUGUUUUUUGAGGAGAGAUGUUCAGAAGCAUGGCCAUUGUUUCGGAGUUAAACCGAGGUUCCAACAUCUACCAGAGGACAAUCAAUGUUGGGAGCAUACUCUGCCAGGUCCACAGAUCUCAGCCACUCCAUGACUCGGUGGUUGGACCACUGGACCACUUCGCUGGGACUGAACUCACUCUGAGGCACACGGAAAAAAGAACAAAUUAAAAUACAACAUUACUUGUAUUCCUGUUUCACAUGUAGACAACAGGACUCUGAGUAUAGUACAAACUAGUAGGAUGACAGAUAGAAUUAUACUAUUAAAUAGAACAGGAUGCAUGAUUCAGGCUGUAAUAAAGGUUUGUAUUUAUUCUUGUAACCUAUAAGUAAGUGCUGAAUAAAACAAAAAAAGGAAUAACUGCACAACCUGUGAGUAAUAUUCAAUAACAUUUAGAGUUUGAAAUUGGCUUACAUCUUCUUUCCUUACUUCUCAUGUGUUGUAGCUUUUGUGUAAAUUGAAUUUAUAAGUAAUGAACUAUCACAUUUAGUCAAGCCACGAAUGACAUGCAUGUGCUUUUAUUUGUUUUUGUUAAGCACGACAACAGAAAACAAGUACAUUAAGCCACUUUCUGAAGCAGUCCACACCAAAGCCACGCAAGAACCGCUGUUAAUAUUGACACAGGAGACUGAGCACAGAAGGGCCAUAUACUUGUGGCAGUAUGGCAAGCUAUUUGUGUAUAUAUUCUAUGUUGUUGAUUUCAGACAUCACUUUUAUAAAUUUUAUAAUAAAUUUUAUAAAUUAAAUUGGCAUGUAAAACCAGCCUUGGUGUUAACAGCUUGCAAGCUUAUAAAAAAAACAAAAUAUGACAUCUGAUAUUUCCAUUUGCUUUAUUGAUAUGUGAUAUUUUGCUUUAGUACCAUAAAUGUAAUGAACUGGGACCUAAACAUAAAGAGUUGUGAUUAAAGUGUACUAUUAAAUGUUUAGUAUUUCUCUUACUAAUUUGCCUAUGUUAUAUCUGCUUUAUUUUUUUCCCACUCUGAUUCCUAAGUUUUCAUUUUUCUUUUUUGCCAAGUAAAGAUGCUAUUAUCACCA